This 20-nucleotide small nuclear RNA is filed under the name Arabidopsis thaliana (thale cress). RNAcentral describes it as "snRNA_11756". The record is from RNAcentral. Lineage: Eukaryota; Viridiplantae; Streptophyta; Magnoliopsida; Brassicales; Brassicaceae.
AAAUUCAUAGGAUUAUUGAA